RNAcentral lists this non-coding RNA (25 nucleotides) under Cricetulus griseus (Chinese hamster). Lineage: Eukaryota; Metazoa; Chordata; Mammalia; Rodentia; Cricetidae. The record is from RNAcentral.
CUCGUCCAUUUUGUGCUUCUGCUUG